RNAcentral lists this ribosomal RNA (495 nucleotides) under uncultured bacterium. RNAcentral's name for it is "partial 16S ribosomal RNA". It matches the Rfam family "Bacterial small subunit ribosomal RNA", at positions 28 to 507 of the family's 1533-position model. The record is from RNAcentral.
GAUGAACGCUGGCGGCGUGCCUAAUACAUGCAAGUAGAACGCUGAAGGAGGAGCUUGCUCUUCUGGAUGAGUUGCGAACGGGUGAGUAACGCGUAGGUAACCUGCCUGGUAGCGGGGGAUAACUAUUGGAAACGAUAGCUAAUACCGCAUGACAACAGAUCUUGCAUGAUAACUGUUUAAAAGUCGCAACUGCUCCACUACCAGAUGGCCCUGCGUUGUAUUAGCUAGUUGGUGAGGUAACAGCUCACCAAGGCGACGAUACAUAGCCGACCUGAGAGGGUGGUCGACCCAACCGGGACUGGGACACCGCCCAGACCCCUACGGGAGGCAGCAGUAGGGGAUCUUCGGCAAUGGACGGAAGUCUGACCGAGCAACGCCGGGGGAGGGGAGAAGGUUUUCGGAUCGUAAAGCUCUGUUGUAAGGGAAGAACGAGUGUGAGAGUGGAAAGUUCACGCUGUGACGGUACCUUACCAGAAAGCGACGGCUAACUACGUG